Molecule: long non-coding RNA, 827 nt
Organism: Octopus sinensis (East Asian common octopus)
Lineage: Eukaryota; Metazoa; Mollusca; Cephalopoda; Octopoda; Octopodidae
Exons: 2
Source: RefSeq, a predicted model, not a curated record
UUUAUUCUCUGCGGGAUUGUAAUUUGUCAACUUCCCGAAAUUUGUUUAUUUACAUCCUGAAAGCUUUUCCUGAAAUCUUUCAAAAUUGACAGUAAUAACAGAAGAAAAACAAAACACAAACUUCAUUCAGAAUGUCUUUUUCCAAGGAGAAACUUCUAAACUAUCGGCCAUUUAUAGUUAAGAACUUGGUUUCCAUUGAAGAUGUGGUAGACACUUUAAUUUCUGAUGGUAUCCUCACAACUUCAGUUAACGAGGACAUAAAAUCCUGCGAGAAUGAGGAUAAUAAAAUACGCAAACUGCUUGAUUUUCUUGUGAAAAAAGGUAAAUCUGAAUUCGAUAUGUUCUGCUCUGCCUUAAACUCAACUGGUAAUGAACACAUUGCUUUAAAGUUAACCUUGAUGAACCUUUGAGCAAGAAUGAAACUGCUCCGUCUUUGCAGUUAGUAAACAAGAAAAGAACUAUCAUGGACGAUAAAGAUAAAGACAUUUUGAGAAAAUUACGAGUUCAGUUUGUGAAAAAUAUGAUUGAUGUGGAAGGAGUUGUUGACAUUUUGUUCAGUGAAGAUGUUAUUAAAGACUCACACAAAAGUUUAAUCCUGAGGCAUCUGGAACGGUCAAAGCAAAUUCGAAGCCUCCUUGAUAUUUUACCAAAACGGUUUAACAAUACCAUGUCUAUUUUCAUCAAAGCACUUGAAGAGACUGACAAUAUAGUCUUAAUUAACAAAAUUAAAGAACUUCGCCAUGUUUAAAAAGAUAACCUGAAAAUUAUAAUUAUUCUAUAUUAAAAAACCCGUCCUUUUUUAACUUGUCUGUUUAACAUAGGAUAUG